This 206-nucleotide ribosomal RNA is filed under the name Mycena guldeniana. RNAcentral's name for it is "partial large subunit ribosomal RNA". It matches the Rfam family "Eukaryotic large subunit ribosomal RNA", at positions 82 to 279 of the family's 3401-position model. Lineage: Eukaryota; Fungi; Basidiomycota; Agaricomycetes; Agaricales; Mycenaceae. The record is from RNAcentral.
AGUAACGGCGAGUGAAGCGGGAAAAGCUCAAAUUUAAAAUCUGGCGGUCCCUGUGGCCGUCCGAGUUGUAAGUUAGAGAAGUGUUAUCCGCGCUGGACCGUGUACAAGUCCCUUGGAAUAGGGCAUCAUAGAGGGUGAGAAUCCCGUCUUUGACACGGACUGCCAGGGCAUUGCGAUGCGCUCCCGAAGAGUCGAGUUGUUUGGGA